Molecule: long non-coding RNA, 906 nt
Organism: Lates calcarifer (barramundi perch)
Lineage: Eukaryota; Metazoa; Chordata; Actinopteri; Centropomidae
Exons: 5
Source: RefSeq, a predicted model, not a curated record
GCGUUUUGUUUGAGACUGACUUUAUCAGGAUUAAAUCCAAUCUUGACAAACUAAAAUAUCUUCUGCUGAAAAAUCUCCGUCCAUAUUUAUAUUUUAGUUUAUAUUUUAGAGAACUCAGGCAGCAGGUCAGUGAGACAUGAUUUAAAUUAUUAUCUGACACUUACCUAAACUGAUUUUUCCUCUUUUCACCUUUGACUGCCAUCAAAUCUCAAAGACGGUCUGUGGUUGAGAAAAGGACAAAAUCCACAGGUCUGCCAGCCUGACAAGAAGAAGAAACCCCCCCAAACUCAGAACAGCACAAAAACCACAGCUGGGAAAGUAGCACCAAAUCCUCAGAGCACAAACCAGAAAAAAAGGAAGACUGAUGCUGAUGGACCACUGAAGCCCAAACUGAUGAUGACAGAGAAGCAAAGUUUAUUCCUGAAAACACCUGGACUCCACAGUUUGUGAGGUUAAAACUGUUCCUGUCCAGGACGCCAGGAUUACGAUCACAAGAAUCUUAAAGUCCAACACGAUUAACACUCACCUGGAGGCAGAUUUCAACCAGAAGCUGCAGACGUUCUUUAUGACGUCUCGACGUCUAACAGAAGCAUUCGGCAUCAAAUCGGAGGAUGACUUUAAACAGAGGCUGCCGCUGUCAGUAGAAGUAAAAAUACAAGGAAAUAAAAUUACAGAGAUUAAGAAGAUCUACAGUUACGUGUAUUUCAGUAGAAAAGGAACAUGACUUACAUCGAGCACUGCGGCUGAUCACAGGAGAGGUCAGAGUGUGUGGUGUCCACUAACCUUUGGUUGUUUUAUUCUGUAUUUUUAGGGAGGUGUUUUUAUUUGAAGUGCUGGUUUUUAUUGUGUCUACUUUUCCUCUUCUUUAAGGUAAUAAUAAAGAGCCACUGAUGGCAGCUAACCCAC